Molecule: ribosomal RNA, 301 nt
Filed under: uncultured bacterium
Lineage: Bacteria
Description: partial 16S ribosomal RNA
Rfam family: Bacterial small subunit ribosomal RNA
Source: RNAcentral
CAGUCGCCGCGGUAAUACGUAGGUCCCGAGCGUUGUCCGGAUUUAUUGGGCGUAAAGCGAGCGCAGGCGGUUAGAUAAGUCUGAAGUUAAAGGCUGUGGCUUAACCAUAGUACGCUUUGGAAACUGUUGAACUUGAGUGCAGAAGGGGAGAGUGGAAUUCCAUGUGUAGCGGUGAAAUGCGUAGAUAUAUGGAGGAACACCGGUGGCGAAAGCGGCUCUCUGGUCUGUCACUGACGCUGAGGCUCGAAAGCGUGGGUAGCGAACAGGAUUAGAUACCCCUGUAGUCCCUGUCUCUUAUACA